UAGUUGGUAAGGUAACGGCUUACCAAGACGAUGAUGGGUAGGGGUCCUGAGAGGGAGAUCCCCCACACUGGUACUGAGACACGGACCAGACUCCUACGGGAGGCAGCAGUGAGGAAUAUUGGUCAAUGGUCGCAAGACUGAACCAGCCAUGCCGCGUGCAGGAAGACGGUCCUAUGGAUUGUAAACUGCUUUUAUACAGGAAGAAACCCUCCCACGUGUGGGAGCUUGACGGUACUGUAGGAAUAAGGAUCGGCUAACUCCGUGCCAGCAGCCGCGGUAAUACGGAGGAUCCAAGCGUUAUCCGGAAUCAUUGGGUUUAAAGGGUCCGUAGGCGGUCUUAUAAGUCAGUGGUGAAAGCCCAUCGCUCAACGAUGGAACUGCCAUUGAUACUGUAAGACUUGAAUGCUUAGGAAGUAACUAGAAUAUGUAGUGUAGCGGUGAAAUGCUUAGAUAUUACAUGGAAUACCAAUUGCGAAGGCAGGUUACUACUAAGUGAUUGACGCUGAUGGACGAAAGCGUGGGGAGCGAACAGGAUUAGAUACCCUGGUAGUCCACGCCGUAAACGAUGGAUACUAGCUGUUCGGAGCAAU
Molecule: ribosomal RNA, 590 nt
Filed under: uncultured bacterium
Lineage: Bacteria
Description: bacterial SSU rRNA
Rfam family: Bacterial small subunit ribosomal RNA
Source: RNAcentral